Asterias rubens (European starfish) is the source of this 187-nucleotide long non-coding RNA. RefSeq lists it as uncharacterized. Lineage: Eukaryota; Metazoa; Echinodermata; Asteroidea; Forcipulatida; Asteriidae. The transcript is spliced from 3 exons. The record is from RefSeq and is a predicted model, not a curated record.
CUAAGGUUAUAGUUUAUUAUACCGGAAUGUUUCAGAUUGCCUUUGAGACCAGUGUGGAAGGCAUGGGAUCUGAUGUGUAUGUUGCUCUUGACGAUGUUGCUCUUCAGACCCAAAAGAGUUUACCUACAUGUGAUUUCGAGAACAGUAUCUAUGGUGAUUUCUGCAUUUUUGAUCAAUUACGCAAUGG